This 229-nucleotide ribosomal RNA is filed under the name uncultured Bacteroides sp. RNAcentral's name for it is "partial 16S ribosomal RNA". It matches the Rfam family "Bacterial small subunit ribosomal RNA", at positions 383 to 607 of the family's 1533-position model. The record is from RNAcentral. Lineage: Bacteria; Pseudomonadati; Bacteroidota; Bacteroidia; Bacteroidales; Bacteroidaceae.
CUGAACCAGCCAAGUAGCGUGAAGGAAUGACGGCCCUACGGGUUGUAAACUUCUUUUGUGCGGGAAUAAAGGAGCCUACGUGUAGGCUUUUGCAUGUACCGUAACGAAUAAGCAUCGGCUAACUCCGUGCCAGCAGCCGCGGUAAUACGGAGGAUGCGAGCGUUAUCCGGAUUUAUUGGGUUUAAAGGGAGCGUAGACGGGUUUUUAAGUCAGUUGUGAAAGUUUGCGG